Molecule: ribosomal RNA, 450 nt
Filed under: uncultured bacterium
Lineage: Bacteria
Description: partial 16S ribosomal RNA
Rfam family: Bacterial small subunit ribosomal RNA
Source: RNAcentral
GUGGGGAAUUUUGGACAAUGGGCGAAAGCCUGAUCCAGCCAUGCCGCGUGCAGGAUGAAGGCCUUCGGGUUGUAAACUGCUUUUGUACGGAACGAAAGGACUCCUUCUAAUAAAGGGGGUCCAUGACGGUACCGUAAGAAUAAGCACCGGCUAACUACGUGCCAGCAGCCGCGGUAAUACGUAGGGUGCAAGCGUUAAUCGGAAUUACUGGGCGUAAAGCGUGCGCAGGCGGUUAUAUAAGACAGAUGUGAAAUCCCCGGGUUCAACCUGGGAACUGCAUUUGUGACUGUAUAGCUAGAGUACGGUAGAGGGGGAUGGAAUUCCGCGUGUAGCAGUGAAAUGCGUAGAUAUGCGGAGGAACACCGAUGGCGAAGGCAAUCCCCUGGACCUGUACUGACGCUCAUGCACGAAAGCGUGGGGAGCAAACAGGAUUAGAUACCCUAGUAGUCC